GCCGCCUUAGCUCAGUUGGUAGAGCGGGUCACUCGUAAUGAUCAGGCCGUUGGUUCGACUCCAAUAGGCGGCACCA
Molecule: transfer RNA, 76 nt
Filed under: Candidatus Magnetococcus massalia
Lineage: Bacteria; Pseudomonadati; Pseudomonadota; Magnetococcia; Magnetococcales; Magnetococcaceae
Description: magneto-ovoid bacterium MO-1 tRNA-Thr
Rfam family: tRNA
About the family: Transfer RNA (tRNA) molecules are approximately 80 nucleotides in length. Their secondary structure includes four short double-helical elements and three loops (D, anti-codon, and T loops).
Source: RNAcentral